This 465-nucleotide ribosomal RNA is filed under the name uncultured bacterium. RNAcentral describes it as "partial 16S ribosomal RNA". It matches the Rfam family "Bacterial small subunit ribosomal RNA", at positions 339 to 795 of the family's 1533-position model. The record is from RNAcentral.
CUACGGGCUGCUGCAGUGGGGAAUAUUGGACAAUGGGCGGAAGCCUGAUCCAGCCAUGCCGCGUGUGUGAAGAAGGCCUUUUGGUUGUAAAGCACUUUAAGCGAGGAGGAGGCUCCUUUAGUUAAUACCUAAAGUGAGUGGACGUUACUCGCAGAAUAAGCACCGGCUAACUCUGUGCCAGCAGCCGCGGUAAUACAGAGGGUGCGAGCGUUAAUCGGAUUUACUGGGCGUAAAGCGUGCGUAGGCGGCUUUUUAAGUCGGAUGUGAAAUCCCUGAGCUUAACUUAGGAAUUGCAUUCGAUACUGGAAAGCUAGAGUAUGGGAGAGGAUGGUAGAAUUCCAGGUGUAGCGGUGAAAUGCGUAGAGAUCUGGAGGAAUACCGAUGGCGAAGGCAGCCAUCUGGCCUAAUACUGACGCUGAGGUACGAAAGCAUGGGGAGCAAACAGGAUUAGAUACCCGCGUAGUC